UACGGAGGGUGCAAACGUUGCUCGGAAUCAUUGGGCGUAAAGCGCACGUAGGCGGUCCAGCAAGUCGGGUGUGAAAGCCCUCGGCUUAACCGAGGAAGUGCAUUCGAAACUACUGGACUUGAAUACUGGAGAGGAUCGCGGAAUUCCCGGUGUAGAGGUGAAAUUCGUAGAUAUCGGGAGGAACACCAGUGGCGAAGGCGGCGAUCUGGACAGAUAUUGACGCUGAGGUGCGAAAGCGUGGGGAGCAAGCAGG
Molecule: ribosomal RNA, 253 nt
Filed under: uncultured bacterium
Lineage: Bacteria
Description: partial 16S ribosomal RNA
Rfam family: Bacterial small subunit ribosomal RNA
Source: RNAcentral